CUUUCAGCUCAGAUGACCUUUCAAUUAUCAGUAAAAUACGUGAAACCCCAAGGUAGACUAUAUUUCAAAACACUUUGCGACAUUCACGAACUUUGCCAUCCCGAAAUAUCUUCUCCAUCACCAAAAAUGACCCCAAGAGACCCCAAUGCUGAAGAACGGAAAUGCAGAAAAUCCUCCAAAAUC
Brugia malayi is the source of this 183-nucleotide non-coding RNA. The record is from RefSeq and is a predicted model, not a curated record. Lineage: Eukaryota; Metazoa; Nematoda; Chromadorea; Rhabditida; Onchocercidae.